UACGAAGGGGGCUAGCGUUGCUCGGAAUUACUGGGCGUAAAGGGCGCGUAGGCGGCUUGGUCAGUCAGGCGUGAAAUUCCUGGGCUCAACCUGGGGACUGCGCUUGAUACGGCCAGGCUUGAGGCCGAGAGAGGGUGGUGGAAUUCCCAGUGUAGAGGUGAAAUUCGUAGAUAUUGGGAAGAACACCGGUGGCGAAGGCGACCACCGGGCUCGGUACUGACGCUGAGGCGCGACAGCGUGGGGAGCAAACAGG
RNAcentral lists this ribosomal RNA (253 nucleotides) under uncultured bacterium. Its description in RNAcentral is "partial 16S ribosomal RNA". It matches the Rfam family "Bacterial small subunit ribosomal RNA", at positions 524 to 776 of the family's 1533-position model. The record is from RNAcentral.